This 2071-nucleotide long non-coding RNA is filed under the name Selaginella moellendorffii. Its description in RNAcentral is "long non-coding RNA (SMOE_LNC000393)". Lineage: Eukaryota; Viridiplantae; Streptophyta; Lycopodiopsida; Selaginellales; Selaginellaceae. The record is from RNAcentral.
GUGGCGACAAACUCCAGCACUAACUGGCAAGUGCAGCUAAUGAUAAGUCUAACAUGCUCUCUCUUGUUCUAAUUGAGGUAUGGAGACAUUGGAUUGGUUUGACAAGCACCACCACUUGAUGCAGCCAUAUAGUGGUCAUAAGUUCCCAAAUAGCAUGGAAUUGGAAGCACACAAAAGGGUUUAAAGGAUGCUCUUUCUUAGCUAACAAUGUAAUAGUUUCAGAUGAUGGGGCUUGCUCUCACGGACAGUGUAAUGGAGCAGUGCAUCCUCCCUGAUUUGUUUGCAUCAAAUCACAAGUUGUGAUCACCAUUGUACUGGCAGAUUCAAGGGUUUACCAAGCAGAGCAAGGCGAUCGCGAGCAGCGCCAUCAGGAUGAAGACAACGCCGCCGCACGCGCCAUUCCUACCAGCGAUCAGCGACUCCUCCCACGGCAGUAUCGCAUUCUUCUGGAGGUUAUCGCUCGGAUGGCUUCUCCCGGCGGAUUUGAGGCGCUCCAGCACCAGCGGGAACACGUCCCCGUGCGAAUGCUCUCCGAUCCACAGGUCGGAGUGUCCGUAGUCUUGAAUCACGAUUCGAGCGUGGCUGAGUCCAGGGUGAUGCCGCUUCAUGAAUCCGUGCGCGCGGAGAGAGGUCUCUGGAGUGACGAGAAUGGGGCGGCCGCCGGAGAUAUACGUGGUGUGGACUGCUAGCCUCUCCGGAUGAGCCAUGUAAGUCUCGUUUUUCCCCUCGUUGUCUACUACGUGUCCCGCGAGAACGAUUUUACGUGCGUGUGGCAAUGCUGCCAUUGAUAGAGUUUGCACUGCCUGCUUGGUCAACCAGUUGUGCGUUUCCAGUCUGACUUUCUCGUGCCAGAAUGUGUUGCCGAAUAUUCCUGAGAAAACAUUGCAUUCGUCACAGUGGCAGCGCUCCGUGCGUGGUAUCGCUCGAGCAAUUGCGCGGAGUAGCUUGUGUCGCCACGACAUCGGUUCUUCUUGCGGAGGACUUAUUGGUAUGACGAGCUUCUUUCCCAGGAUUGUCAUAGAAAUCUGUAGUAGAUAAACAACAAGACGUAAGUCUCCUUUUUUUUAUGGCUAACGCAAAAACUACUUACAGGAAUGAGAGGCAGAGUCAACUUGACGAGCGCUGAUGGAACCAAGUUGAAGAACAUGGACGAGUUUGUGCAAAUCAGUGAUGCUAUCGACGAUGGAGGUAUGUAUCCACCCAUCAAGCUCAUGUGAAUUGAGAGUCCCCCCAUGCAAUGAGCAAUAACGUGUGCUGCUACCGGCUUUCUCUUGACGUGGCUCAUCUUUGCAAAUGCUGUAAAAUUUUCCAGCAUUAAACUUUCUCGGUUUUUGACAGAGUGCACAUACCGGCUGGAAUGUCGAACCGAGCGACAUCAUCGAAAGUGAAAGAAGUUGGGGUCGGAUGCGAUGGAUGGAAACGUGUUUGCAAGAGCCAAGGUUCAUAGUCAUUCUCUAUAAGUGUUCUUACGAUGUCGUGGUUUUCCGUAGGGACACAGAAACUCUCUGUGGCAUAACCAUUGAGAAGCAAAACAAUUUUGAAGUUCUCAUCUUGAGCAGCACCCUUCGAGCACCAUUGCUUGCAGGUAAUGCGGGCACCAUCUCCUGCACAAGAAAUCUGUCACUGCCUGCGUAAAAGAGUCAAGUCUGUUUUUACCUGUGGCAAUCUCAUGAAGCACAUAGCUUGGAUAGUUUUCGGUCGAGUCUUCUGGUUUUGCCAUUUCCCGGCUUGUCGCUCUCGGUGUUCUCAUCAAGUACGUCCUAGCAAGUGUUUCCAGGAGUCGUCCUACAAACUCCCGCUUCCUUGGCCCUCGUAACAAUAUUAGGGACUUAAGUAACUCGGGAAGAGUUACCCGCACUUUUCCUUUCAAGGCAAUCGGUCUUGGUGAGUCCUGCUGAGCUCGAAACAACGAUAUGUAGUGUGGUUGCAUCAGAGUAACACAUUAGGCCGCUCAUGAAUGGUCGCAUCUCUUUCCUUCCGUCCAAGGUAUACCUUCAGAAACCAUAGUUUUCAAUGAGAUCAGAUUGACAGAAGAAAGGAUAACUUACCUGGUGCCUGUGUUUGUUGACAG